GCCUUCGUGGUGUAAUGGUCAGCACGCUCGGUGCAUGUUUGAGAGGUCCGUGGUUCGAGUCCCGGCGAGCGCA
This 73-nucleotide transfer RNA is filed under the name Stegodyphus mimosarum. It matches the Rfam family "tRNA". From Rfam's summary of the family: Transfer RNA (tRNA) molecules are approximately 80 nucleotides in length. Their secondary structure includes four short double-helical elements and three loops (D, anti-codon, and T loops). The record is from Rfam by way of RNAcentral. Lineage: Eukaryota; Metazoa; Arthropoda; Arachnida; Araneae; Eresidae.